Molecule: non-coding RNA, 90 nt
Filed under: Streptococcus suis
Lineage: Bacteria; Bacillati; Bacillota; Bacilli; Lactobacillales; Streptococcaceae
Description: Glycine riboswitch
Rfam family: Glycine riboswitch aptamer
About the family: This family represents the bacterial glycine riboswitch. Glycine riboswitches usually consist of two metabolite-binding aptamers domains with similar structures in tandem.
Source: RNAcentral
CGGCACUCUGGAGAGACCGAAAGGCACCGAAGGGGCAAGGCGAGCAUGGAAAAGGGCUAGCUGAAACUCUCAGGUAAAAGGACAGAGCGA